UGGGGAAUUUUGGACAAUGGGCGAAAGCCUGAUCCAGCAAUGCCGCGUGUGUGAAGAAGGCCUUCGGGUUGUAAAGCACUUUUGUCCGGAAAGAAAUCCUUGGCUCUAAUACAGUCGGGGGAUGACGGUACCGGAAGAAUAAGCACCGGCUAACUACGUGCCAGCAGCCGCGGUAAUACGUAGGGUGCAAGCGUUAAUCGGAAUUACUGGGCGUAAAGCGUGCGCAGGCGGUUUGCUAAGACCGAUGUGAAAUCCCCGGGCUCAACCUGGGAACUGCAUUGGUGACUGGCAGGCUAGAGUAUGGCAGAGGGGGUAGAAUUCCACGUGUAGCAGUGAAAUGCGUAGAGAUGUGGAGGAAUACCGAUGGCGAAGGCAGCCCCUGGCCAAGUACUGACGCUCACGCACGAAAGCGUGGGAGCAAACAGGAUUAGAUACCCUGGUAGUCCACGCCCUAAACGAUGUCAACUAGUUGUUGGGGAUUCAUUUUCCUUAGUAACGUAGCUAACGCGUGAAGUUGACCGCCUGGGGAGUACGGUCGCAAGAUUAAAACUCAAAGGAAUUGACGGGGUCAUAGCUGUUUCCU
RNAcentral lists this ribosomal RNA (583 nucleotides) under uncultured bacterium. RNAcentral's name for it is "partial 16S ribosomal RNA". It matches the Rfam family "Bacterial small subunit ribosomal RNA", at positions 355 to 1375 of the family's 1533-position model. The record is from RNAcentral.